This 208-nucleotide ribosomal RNA is filed under the name uncultured bacterium. RNAcentral's name for it is "partial 16S ribosomal RNA". It matches the Rfam family "Bacterial small subunit ribosomal RNA", at positions 568 to 774 of the family's 1533-position model. The record is from RNAcentral.
CGCGUAGGCGGCAUAUUAAGUCAGCUGUGAAAUCUCCGAGCUUAACUCGGAACUGUCAGCUGAUACUGAUGUGCUAGAGUGCAGAAGGGGCAAUCGGAAUUCUUGGUGUAGCGGUGAAACGCGUAGAUAUCAAGAGGAACACCUGAGGUGAAGACGGGUUGCUAGGCUGACACUGACGCUGAGUGCGCGAAAGCCAGGGGAGCAAACG